CAUCCGCCCCUCCUUCUUCAUCGUGCGAAACCUCUCUCUCUCCUUCUCGGCAUCCUCACCAAACCAGCAGCUCUUCCUUCCUUUCUUUCAUUUUUCUUUUCCUUUAUUCUGCCAUCCUCGCCCACUAAGGAAGACUACCGUCUCUCUCUCUCCACCAAGUUUUGCCUGCCACCUUCAAUUGUUUCCCCCAACCGAAGCCCCACGUUCACGCAGCUCUCCACCGGAUUUCUCUGCCACACGUCCUCGAUUUAAAUCCCCCAUGAGUCAACCUUCUUCAGCAAAUUUCACGUGUUGACCCUUGUAGAGCCAGCGUGAGCCAGCUGCCAGCACACACCGCCCACAUCCCACAGAAGCUUCUUCCACUUUCUCUCGCAUCCAUGCGAGUGCAGCAAACCGAGUCCACUCCCUCUCCCCCUCAUUGACCGCCACCAGCAUACUUCCUCACGCCUCCAUGAGUCUGCCGUUCCACCGAAUUCUUCACCGAGCAGCACCUCCAGCGAAGCUUGGCCCAGCGAAGCAAUUUUUCAGUCCACCAGCCUAGUUCGGAUCCAGCCCAAAACUUCAGCGGCAGCCCACACCAAUUUCGGCCCGUCUUCAGUGCCCGACCACAAUUCAGCCUGCAUCAACGGCCUGGCAGUUUCUUUUUUUUUGCUCGGCCCAGCAGUCGGGCCAUUUGAAGCCCAGCAAGUUGCCAUUUUUCUACAGCCCAUCUUCAUGCAAGACAGCCCGUGAAUUUCAGCUUAUUUCAGCCCAUUUGAAGCCCAGCCCAAGAAGUUAGCCCAUCUUCAUUUUCAGCAGCCCAAGCCCGCGAAGCAAGCCUAGCCCAACUCAAUAAUAAAUCUCAGUUUGGGCUGAGAUUUGUUGGGCCGGUUUUAGGCUUGGUCCAAGCCCGUUGGCGCCGUCACAAUUCAAGUGUCGGCCGCCGUCACGCCGCCGUCGCGGUGAACCAGUUUUCGCUUUAAACCGGGUCGUCGAGUGGAGGACCUGGAGCCGAGAGGAGGUGAUCUGAAGUGUAGAUUAAUUAAGAUCGCUUCUUUUUGGAAAGCCAGUCUUUGUAGUCUUUUGGUCUUAGACCUUGUACAUGACUCUAUGUGAAUAUAAAAACGUGUUUGUUUGUGAA
Long non-coding RNA from Eucalyptus grandis, 1120 nucleotides. RefSeq lists it as uncharacterized. Lineage: Eukaryota; Viridiplantae; Streptophyta; Magnoliopsida; Myrtales; Myrtaceae. The record is from RefSeq and is a predicted model, not a curated record. The transcript has 2 exons.